Long non-coding RNA from Empidonax traillii (willow flycatcher), 91 nucleotides. RefSeq lists it as uncharacterized. The transcript is spliced from 3 exons. The record is from RefSeq and is a predicted model, not a curated record. Lineage: Eukaryota; Metazoa; Chordata; Aves; Passeriformes; Tyrannidae.
CAUUGCUCUGAACUUAACGGGAAGGGCCUUCGAAGGUCUGCCUCCAAAUGGUGCAAAGAGAUCUGACUUUAUGCAGCGGGGAAAUAAAGAU